GGAGUACGGUCGCAAGACUGAAACUCAAAGGAAUUGACGGGGGCCCGCACAAGCGGUGGAGUAUGUGGUUUAAUUCGACGCAACGCGAAGAACCUUACCAGGGCUUGACAUUGAGUGAAAGGCCAAGAGAUUGGUCCCUCUCUUCGGAGACACGAAAACAGGUGGUGCAUGGCUGUCGUCAGCUCCGUGUCGUGAGAUGUUGGGUUAAGUCCCGCAACGAGCGCAACCCCUAUCAUUUGUUGCCAGCACGUCAAGGUGGGAACUCAAAUGAGACUGCCGCGGACAACGCGGAGGAAGGCGGGGAUGACGUCAAGUCAUCAUGCCCCUUAUGUCCUGGGCUACACACGUACUACAAUGGGAUGGACAGAGAGCAGCGACCCCGCGAGGGCAAGCGAACCCCAUAAACCAUCUCCCAGUUCGGAUUGCAGGCUGCAACCCGCCUGCAUGAAGUCGGAAUCGCUAGUAAUCGCUGGUCAGCAUACAGCGGUGAAUACGUUCCCGGGCCUUGUACACACCGCCCGUCACACCACGGAAGUCAUUCACACCCAAAGCCGGUGGGGGAACCGCAAGGGCCUAGCCGUCUAAGGUGGGGGCGAUGACUGGGGUGAAGUCGUAACAAGGUAGCCGUAA
Molecule: ribosomal RNA, 630 nt
Filed under: uncultured bacterium
Lineage: Bacteria
Description: bacterial SSU rRNA
Rfam family: Bacterial small subunit ribosomal RNA
Source: RNAcentral